This 29-nucleotide small RNA is filed under the name Bombyx mori (domestic silkworm). RNAcentral describes it as "ovarian small RNA-5666". The record is from RNAcentral. Lineage: Eukaryota; Metazoa; Arthropoda; Insecta; Lepidoptera; Bombycidae.
UAACGAUAAUGGUUACACCCACCGGUAGC